GACGAACGCUGGCGGCGUGCUUAACACAUGCAAGUCGAACGGAAAGGCCCUGCUUUUGUGGGGUGCUCGAGUGGCGAACGGGUGAGUAACACGUGAGUAACCUGCCCUUGACUUUGGGAUAACUUCAGGAAACUGGGGCUAAUACCGGAUAGGAGCUCCUGCUGCAUGGUGGGGGUUGGAAAGUUUCGGCGGUUGGGGAUGGACUCGCGGCUUAUCAGCUUGUUGGUGGGGUAGUGGCUUACCAAGGCUUUGACGGGUAGCCGGCCUGAGAGGGUGACCGGGCAAAUGGGGAUAGGGAAGCGGCCAGGACCGCAGCGGGGGGAAGGGGGGGGAGAUUUUCGAAAAAGGGGGGAGUGCGGAUGGAGCAACGCCGGGUGGGGGAGGUCGGCUUUGGGGUUAGAAACCGUUUUCCCCUGUGAAGAAGCGUGGGGAGGGGAAAUGGGCAAAAAAGCACCGGCAAACUACGU
This 467-nucleotide ribosomal RNA is filed under the name uncultured bacterium. Its description in RNAcentral is "partial 16S ribosomal RNA". It matches the Rfam family "Bacterial small subunit ribosomal RNA", at positions 28 to 506 of the family's 1533-position model. The record is from RNAcentral.